Molecule: ribosomal RNA, 301 nt
Filed under: uncultured bacterium
Lineage: Bacteria
Description: partial 16S ribosomal RNA
Rfam family: Bacterial small subunit ribosomal RNA
Source: RNAcentral
CAGCAGCCACGGUAAUACGGAGGGAGCUAGCGUUGUUCGGAAUUACUGGGCGUAAAGCGCACGUAGGCGGUUAUUCAAGUCAGAGGUGAAAGCCCGGGGCUCAACCCCGGAACUGCCUUUGAAACUAGAUGACUGGAAUCUUGGAGAGGUCAGUGGAAUUCCGAGUGUAGAGGUGAAAUUCGUAGAUAUUCGGAAGAACACCAGUGGCGAAGGCGACUGACUGGACAAGUAUUGACGCUGAGGUGCGAAAGCGUGGGGAGCAAACAGGAUUAGAGACCCCUGUAGUCCCUGUCUCUUAUAC